This 3278-nucleotide long non-coding RNA is filed under the name Oryzias sinensis (Chinese medaka). Its description in RNAcentral is "lncRNA (ENSOSIG00000005941.1)". The record is from RNAcentral. Lineage: Eukaryota; Metazoa; Chordata; Actinopteri; Beloniformes; Adrianichthyidae.
AUUUCAUGACCAGCAUAUUUAUUUACUUAAAUGUUUUCUUUUAUUUCUAAUUUUUGUUGUUGUUUGAAGUGUUUAUAUUUGUAAAUAAGAUUUGUGUUCUGAUGUGUUUAAAAUGGUAAUAUUUCCACAUCAUUCAAGAUAUUACUCAGAAAAAAAGUAUAUGAACAUUCAAGUAGUUAUCUGAAAGAGAAGCAGUUUGUUGGUUAAACUAAAAAUACUGCUAAAGGUUUUUUGUUUUUAGUAAGUUUUAGUCUCUGACAUGAGCUGUGGUGUGAUCCACCGUUCUGAUCCUCUGAGAAAAACCUCCAUUUGGGUAAAUGUGGUCCUCAGCCUUUGUGCUUCUCAUUCCUCUUGCUCUUCCUCCAGUCUUUACUCUGUUAGAUUUGUAUGCAUGAAGUCUUUUUACGAAGGAGCUAAAGGCUUCUUUCUCCUCUUUUUGUUUUACACAGAUGGCAUCUGGGAUUUGGCUUCAUUCCCGCCACAUUUUGAACUGGGCUGUUGAAGGUUGAGGAUCAUCUGCAGCUUUCUGCAUGAGCCAGGCCUUCCUGCAGGUGUUUCUAAUGAGCUCAUCGGUUCACCUGGAUAAAAGCUUCUUCUGUCUGCUGCUGGAGCUCAUCUUUUGCUCUGAGGUAAACAUGGUUCUAAAGCUUGCUUUAAGGCUUUCUUGGAUUGUUCAGCUGCUUGGAUGCUGUGCUGCUUCUCCUUAUCACCGGUAUGAUCCAAUGAUUGUUGCAACAAAAAACCUUCUUUUAAAAGGUCCAGAACUCCAGCAGCACAGGUAUGAGCCUCAAGGGUUCAUCUUGACCUAUGACCCUGAUGCUCAUUCCAAAGUACCAGAUGUGGACUUCCCCUGGACCUGGAGUUACUCCCACUAUGUGGAGAAUAAAACUAGCUUUGCAGCACGGCCUGAUCAAGCACUCAGCCCUGACAGUGUGGAGGAGGGUCCAACCAACCUCUGGCCUGACUCCCCCGGAGGAGUUCUGAACGUUGGUGCCCCAGAACUGGGGAGCAACCCCUCCGUCCCUGAGCAACCUGGGCCUGGACUGAGCAACGUUGGGAUGGCGCGCUCCUUCGGCUCUCCGUAUAAAGCUCUACCAGGUGAGGGUUUUGCAGAUCCGUCUCCACCUACAGGUGUCGCAGAGGAACUUUCCCUCCUCAGUAGGAACCUGAUGGAGGCCCGGCAGAUGCCCCUCUUUCAGGCCUGGAACAAUGGAGAGGUGCCUGUGGACUUGACACCCCCCCCUGUUCACCCCUUAUCUCACCUGUUCCAGUUUGGGAGCGCCUUUCAACGGGCAAAGGACUUUAUUUCUGAUUUGAAAUAUUCCCAGGACACUUUUCCAGAUGCUCCUGAGGUCCCCCCCCUGUGCAACGGGGGGGUGUUCUUUGGGCAGUGUAAACCAGUGACCCAGUGAGGAAACCAAGCUGUCAGUUACUCUGUGCACCUACUGCAUUUCAUAUGAACCUUAGUAUAUGCCUGAGAGCCAACGAUGCCCUCUAGAGGAUAGUGACGGCAUGGCAAGCUGGACAGACUGGACGGAGCCUUCAUCCAUUUGGGGGACCAUCUACAUGGGGACGUUUUCAGCUCUGCUGUGGGAAACCUCAUGAUGUUCAAACUGACACCUGUAGUAAUCCUUGACUAAAGUUUCUUAAAGGAUGUCGUGUUUGUUGUCUUCAUUUCCUCCAUCCCAAAUGAAAGUCAAUGAACAUGAAGCAAACUCGCCACAUCGGCUUCCACUGAACCACAGGUUCAGUAUGGAUCUUCUUAGGCUGCAUUCUCCGGACACAACCCUGUAUUUCAUUUGGGCUGGGGACGAGGAGACCCGGACACGGGUCACCUUGUGGCUAAAUGGGCAGUUUGAAGGAUCUUGCCCAAGGGCUCUCACUGGAUGAAGCUCAUGGGGAAAUGGACCCCUGUUUUUCCCACAUGCCAGUCCUGCUCACAAGCAACUGAGCAGUCCAGCCGCCUUCAUUGGCGCACAUCUAUACAAAGCUCAUUGCAGGUCAAAAUGUAGUUAGAAAUAACUGUUUAUAAACUUAAAAUGUUUCUGCUACACUAAAUACUUUUACCAAAAAGUAAAUCAAUUCACUAAAAUCUUAGUUUUACUUUGGCAUAAAUUUCUGUAAAUGAAGCUUCAGCUGAAAACACCUUGAGUCCUGAAUUGCAGAUUUUUACAGGAAACUGAUCUUUCCAGAUGUGCCGUCACUUUUCAGCUGUCCUUCAAAGGUUUUACAGCUGUUUAAAGGACGUUUUUCCAGUUUGAUUCAUACAAAAACUGAGAUUCAAUAUUCUGAAGUGAAUUUUCAUAGGAUCCUUUGUACUUUUGAAAUGAGGCACUAGAAGUGUUUGAGCCUUCGGAGACCUGCCUUAGAUAACUGACCUGGUAGAGAACACACAUCUCACUAAGAUCCAAAAAUGUAAAGAGCUUUAAGGACACGAGUCCCCAGUAGGUGGCGCUGUCAAAACAAGAGCAACAAGCAGAAUCAACAGGCCUUCAUUCAUGUAUGUACAAUUUAAACAGACAUUUCUUUGAAUUGAGGAUUAAGACUUUCACAGCAGUUUCUCUGAACAGAGGAUUUCAGCUUAAGAGUUAAACAAAUCAAUCUUCCUGAUGCAGUCGUGGCUCCUCCUCCUCUUCCUCAGGGCUCUGUGUCACUCUGCUCAUUGCUGCAUCAUUUAAGUCAUUGAAACAUUACAGGCAGAAAGUGUCAAAUCCCUAAAUUAAAACAAUAAAAUCAUUUCUAAUACUGUUCAACGUGGCAGUUUAAAGGAGCGGUCAGUCUGAGAUUCACACCGACAGCCAUCCUCUCUCAGGUCUCCACUGGAGGGCGGCGCAGAGACGCAGAUCAGCCUAUAGGUUGCUGAAGAGUUCGUUCCUCUUGCUCCAGUCCAUGGCCGGCGCCUUCUUGGCCGCCCUCUUCUUGUGAGCUCUCUCUUUGGCCUCGGCCAGCGACACGCCCAGACCCAGACCCAGGCCGUCUGCGGCAGGCGCCGGCUCGGCCCGCGGGGAUUCCUCCACCUGUAAAAACACACAGACGUGGUCAGGUGGGGGCCGCGAGGAGGCACCGAUCUUCCUCAGACUCUGGCACCUCUGCGGGGGGCGAGCUGGGCGCCGCUUGCUGCAGCGAGCUGCUGGAGGAGACGCUGGACGCUCUGGAGCUCACGGACUCUUUGGGCUUCAGCUCUGCUGCUGCCUGGAAAACAAAAACAUGAAUCAGGAUGUGGAAACGUCUUCAGGCUCGACUCUGUAACGCUUGUUCUAUCCUAGACACUUUAACGU